RNAcentral lists this ribosomal RNA (433 nucleotides) under uncultured bacterium. RNAcentral describes it as "bacterial SSU rRNA". It matches the Rfam family "Bacterial small subunit ribosomal RNA", at positions 427 to 878 of the family's 1533-position model. The record is from RNAcentral.
AAAGGUCUUUCGCCAGAGAUGAUAAUGACAGUAUCUGGUAAAGAAACCCCGGCUAACUCCGUGCCAGCAGCCGCGGUAAUACGGAGGGGGUUAGCGUUGUUCGGAAUUACUGGGCGUAAAGCGCACGUAGGCGGAUCAGAAAGUAUAGGGUGAAAUCCCAGGGCUCAACCCUGGAACUGCCUUGUAAACUCCUGGUCUUGAGUUCGAGAGAGGUGAGUGGAAUUCCGAGUGUAGAGGUGAAAUUCGUAGAUAUUCGGAGGAACACCAGUGGCGAAGGCGGCUCACUGGCUCGAUACUGACGCUGAGGUGCGAAAGUGUGGGGAGCAAACAGGAUUAGAUACCCUGGUAGUCCACACCGUAAACGAUGAAUGCCAGACGUCAGCAAGCAUGCUUGUUGGUGUCACACCUAACGGAUUAAGCAUUCCGCCUGGGG